This is a long non-coding RNA of Gasterosteus aculeatus aculeatus (three-spined stickleback), 402 nucleotides long. The record is from Ensembl. NCBI's taxonomy places the organism in Eukaryota, Metazoa, Chordata, Actinopteri, Perciformes, Gasterosteidae.
GGGUCUACACGGUCUGCAUUAGAAGAUCCUGCUGCACAUGGUUCUUUAAUGGGUUGUCCUCGCUCUAUAGUUUCUGCAUUAGAUACCUGUGCAUCUGCAUAAGAUGGUGGUGGUGCACAUGAAGCAUCAGGCUGACCUUCCUGCUCCACACGUUUACACUCUGCAGACAUCUUUACCUCUUCACUGCUCUCAGGACCAACACAUUCUGCUCCUUCAGUCGUUGUUGCACAGGGAUUCUCAUUGGGCCGCUGCCAGCGCAGGCUCUGAUCUUGUGACCUCUUACUCUUCCUUGGCAUUGUUGAUGUUUCAAAACCACAAAUGUUGUCGUACAAAACCAAGAUAUUAAAUACAAUAUGAAUACUAUGUUAUACUAGUUUAUAUUCAAAACCAGGAACAGUGGUG